AGAGUUUGAUCCUGGCUCAGAACGAACGCUGGCGGCGUGCCUAACACAUGCAAGUCGAGCGAGAAAGUUCCCUUCGGGGAGCGAGUACAGCGGCGAACGGGUGAGUAUAACGUAGGUAACCUACCCCCGAGACUGGGAUAACCUGUCGAAAGACGGGCUAAUACCGGAUAAGACCACGAAGGCUGCGGCCUUUGCGGCAAAAGGUGGCCUCUGCUUGCAAGCUACCACUCGAGGAUGGGCCUGCGCGCCAUUAGCUAGUUGGUGGGGUAACGGCUCACCAAGGCGAAGAUGGCUAGCUGGUCUGAGAGGAUGGCCAGCCACACUGGGACUGAGACACGGCCCAGACUCCUACGGGAGGCAGCAGUGGGGAAUCUUGCGCAAUGGGCGAAAGCCUGACGCAGCGACGCCGCGUGGGUGAUGAAGGCCUUCGGGUCGUAAAGCCCUGUCGGGAGGGAAGAAAUCUCGUCGGUCUAAUAUGCCGACGACUGACGGUACCUCUAAGAGCC
This 506-nucleotide ribosomal RNA is filed under the name uncultured Thermanaeromonas sp. RNAcentral's name for it is "bacterial SSU rRNA". It matches the Rfam family "Bacterial small subunit ribosomal RNA", at positions 8 to 489 of the family's 1533-position model. Lineage: Bacteria; Bacillati; Bacillota; Clostridia; Neomoorellales; Neomoorellaceae. The record is from RNAcentral.